Molecule: transfer RNA, 54 nt
Filed under: Argas walkerae
Lineage: Eukaryota; Metazoa; Arthropoda; Arachnida; Ixodida; Argasidae
Description: tRNA-Ser
Source: RNAcentral
AAGACCAUUCUCUUAAGGCUGCUAACCUUAAAAUAAUGAAAUCAUUUGGUCUUU